This 467-nucleotide ribosomal RNA is filed under the name uncultured bacterium. RNAcentral describes it as "partial 16S ribosomal RNA". It matches the Rfam family "Bacterial small subunit ribosomal RNA", at positions 28 to 507 of the family's 1533-position model. The record is from RNAcentral.
GAUGAACGCUGGCGGCGUGCUUAACACAUGCAAGUCGAACGGAAAGGCCCAAGCUUGCUUGGGUACUCGAGUGGCGAACGGGUGAGUAACACGUGGGUGAUCUGCCCUGCACUUCGGGAUAAGCCUGGGAAACUGGGUCUAAUACCGGAUAGGACCACUUCUUGGAUGUUGUGGUGGAAAGUUUUUUCGGUGUGGGAUGAGCUCGCGGCCUAUCGGCUUGUUGGUGGGGUAAUGGCCUACCAAGGCGUCGACGGGUAGCCGGCCUGAGAGGGUGUACGGCCACAUUGGGAAUGAGAUACGGCCCAGACUCCUACGGGAGGCAGCAGUGGGGAAUAUUGCACAAUGGGCGCAAGCCUGAUGCAGCGACGCCGCGUGGGGGAUGACGGCCUUCGGGUUGUAAACUCCUUUCGCUAGGGACGAAGCGUUUUGUGACGGUACCUGGAGAAGAAGCACCGGCUAACUACGUG